RNAcentral lists this ribosomal RNA (442 nucleotides) under uncultured bacterium. RNAcentral's name for it is "SSU rRNA". It matches the Rfam family "Bacterial small subunit ribosomal RNA", at positions 26 to 518 of the family's 1533-position model. The record is from RNAcentral.
AGAACGAACGCUGGCGGCAUGCCUAACACAUGCAAGUCGAACGAUGCUUUCGGGCAUAGUGGCGCACGGGUGCGUAACGCGUGGGAAUCUGCCUUUCGGUACGGAAUAACAGUUAGAAAUGACUGCUAAUACCGUAUGAUGUCUUCGGACCAAAGAUUUAUCGCCGAGAGAUGAGCCCGCGUAGGAUUAGGUAGUUGGUGGGGUAAAGGCCUACCAAGCCGACGAUCCUUAGCUGGUCUGAGAGGAUGAUCAGCCACACUGGGACUGAGACACGGCCCAGACUCCUACGGGAGGCAGCAGUGGGGAAUAUUGGACAAUGGGCGAAAGCCUGAUCCAGCAAUGCCGCGUGAGUGAUGAAGGCCUUAGGGUUGUAAGCUCUUUACCCGGGAAGAUAAUGACUGUACCGGAGAAUAAGCCCGGCUAACUCCGUGCCAGCAGCCGC